GACGAACGCUGGCGGCGUGCUUAACACAUGCAAGUCGAACGGAAAGGCCCUGCUUUUGUGGGGUGCUCGAUUGGCGAACGGGUGAGUAACACGUGAGUAACCUGCCCUUGACUUUGGGAUAACUUCAGGAAACUGGGGCUAAUACCGGAUAGGAGCUCCUGCUGCAUGUUGGGGGUUGGAAAGUUUCGGCGGUUGUGGAUGGACUCGAGGGUUAUCAGCUUGUUUGUGUGGUAGUGGCUUACCAAGGCUUUGACGGGUAGCCUGCCUGAGAGGGUGACCGGCCACAUUGGGACUGCGAGACGGACCAGAAUCCUACGGGAGGCAGCAGUGGGGAAUAUUGCACAAUGGGCGGACGCGUGAUGCAGCAACGCCGCGUGCGGGAUGACGGCCUUCGGGGUGUAAACAGAUUUCGCAUGUGACGAAGAGUGAGUGACGGUAAUGGGUAAAGAAGCACCGGCUAACUACGUG
RNAcentral lists this ribosomal RNA (468 nucleotides) under uncultured bacterium. RNAcentral describes it as "partial 16S ribosomal RNA". It matches the Rfam family "Bacterial small subunit ribosomal RNA", at positions 28 to 507 of the family's 1533-position model. The record is from RNAcentral.